UGAUAGUUUUUGGUACAGAAUGCUGGAGAAGGGUCUCAAAGGGACGCUUACUCAUGAGGUGGGUGGGACGGUGUUGUAAGACCUCCUGAAUGUGAUGAUGUCCAAAUGCAGGACAGCUUUAUGAGGGUAGGGUGCUAUGGAGCGUAUACUUCUCUAGAUAUUUAUAAGUGCUUGUAUUUGUAUGAAAUAAAAGCAAGAAGCCAUGCUAACAACAAAGUGACACCAAAUAUUGCCGUGGCUGACACCAGAGCCUCAACCCUUGGCUCUGUUUCAGGAGCUCCAGUAAUCAAAAGAUAAGUAUGCUGAAUGAGGCUUUGGGGAGGUCUGAGGAGGAAGGAAGACAACAUUCUCAAGUUUGCAAGUGACCCAAACUGCCUGAGAAAUUUGGGGAGCACCAUGAAGUAUGAUCAGCACAGCCUAAAAGAUGUACAAAUAUUUGAAUAAUGGUUCAGCAGUCUUCCCUUUGAGGAGCCGAGAGCACUUGUGCCAGAAAAGACUCUGCUUUUACAGAUGGCCAGCCUGAGGCUAGGAUAGCCAUUUCCCCAAAUAGGGAGCAGACCAGGACUUGCAGAAACAAAACAGAUCACGCCAUUGCUGGCUUGUCUCUUUGUUCUGGUGUCGAGAUCAGGCCCCUCCCUCCACCACUGAAGAGACGGAGAGGAAAGCUAAAAAUGGCUCUGUUCAGGGGGUCACAGAAUUUGGAGUCAGCUUUGUGCCUCGGGCCGUGGUCGCGCGCCCACUGUGUUCCUCGGGAGACGCCACACGCGGUUGCAGGCGGGCGCGGGCGGGGCGCUCAGCAUGGCAAGUCUGCACGUGUAUCCAAGUUGCCGCGACUCAGCGAUGAUUUUCUGGCAGGAAAAAAAAAAAUUGGCACUAACACUUUAACAUCCCACAUCGAAGAAGUUCUGGAAACAAAGCAUGCUCACCCCCACACCAGCACCAAGCAGCAAAUUAAAGACAGUCUAAUUUAUUCAAAAAAACGCUGCUACAGCAUGGCUUGAUGAGUGGUAUGCAGUUCUGUGCCCAGGAUCCAAACCCAGGAACACCAGGCCACCGAAGUGGAGUGUGCAAACUUAACCACUAUGCCACCAGGCCGGCCCCCAUGAAGAACUCUUUAACACACCUUUGGGCAUUCUUGUUGGGCUUUCUCUAUCUCUCAAAGACCUAAGGUCCAGAGUAUAUUUUGGGAAGGCUUGCUUUAUACUCAGAGAGAAUUGCUUCCUCCUACUUUAAAAACAGAAAGGAAGAUAAAGAUCUCAUUUCCAUAACACAAUGUAUAAAGACAACCUGAUUCAGCUGAUGACUGCCAAGCCC
This 1314-nucleotide long non-coding RNA is filed under the name Equus caballus (horse). RNAcentral describes it as "lncRNA (ENSECAG00000048338.1)". The record is from RNAcentral. Lineage: Eukaryota; Metazoa; Chordata; Mammalia; Perissodactyla; Equidae.